UUCAGAUGCAAAGGUGGGUGAUGUUGUAUUAGUGUUUGAUGAAAAUCUUAAAAGAGGAUGUUGGAGGGUAGGAAGAAUUGAAAGUUUGGUAUUAGGAAGGGACAAGGUAGUGAGAGGAGCGAAGGUGAAGGUGGUAAGUAAAGGACGUACAUCGUUUAUUAACAGACCUGUACAGAAGUUAUAUCCUUUGGAAGUGGAUACAAGGGUAAGUAUACAGACAGAGAUAGUUGAAGAGAUCAGUGAGAAGUGUGAGAGUGUAGACAAGGGGAAAGAAGAGAUAACUAAGAAUGACAAGGUGAGUAUUGAAGGCAGUAGUAGGAGACCCAGAAGGGCUGCGGCCCAGGUUGCACGUUGGCGAACGCAGGUUUUGUUUGACCCUAAAGGCUCAAAGGGGGGAGUGUGUCGGAUAAAUCCUUGUAAAUAGUAAAUACUUUAUGUUAUGGUUUAUAUUACUUUUAAAUGGUUGUAAAUUGAUAUCUUAGUUAGACUAUAAUGCGUUGUCUACGCUCAAACAAUAGACAAUGAACUUCCGGACGACGGAAAAUUAGAGUUUUAUCAAGAAAGGUUGUGUUUGUAAGAUUGUAC
This is a non-coding RNA of Paramuricea clavata, 585 nucleotides long. NCBI's taxonomy places the organism in Eukaryota, Metazoa, Cnidaria, Anthozoa, Malacalcyonacea, Plexauridae. The record is from the annotation of a GenBank genome assembly.